AUGAAUACAGACUUCUAACAGAAGGUUUUGCAUUUAUAUAUUUGCUGUAUAAAUAUAUAAAAUAUAUAAAUGAGUAUUACUAUUAUUAUGAUGACCACUAUUAUUUCAUUGUACACAUAUGGAGCUCUCUGCCACACAUUGACCUAAGAGCAUUACAUGCAUCAUCUCAUUUAAUCCACCCAACAAUUCAUUGUUGAUUCCUGAGAGCACAGAAAGGUAAAAUAAUUUGCCCAAGGUCACACAGCUUGUAGCUGGAAGGGCCACGAUUCAAACCAGAGAGUCUGGCUCAAGAUCCGAGGAACAAACUCCUGUAGCAUACUUCCUGCAUUUGGGGUUCUCUAGAUAGAGCAAUGAUGUGUGAUUUAGUAAUCAAUGUUUUUUCGCAAUGACAUUUUUAAAACCCAUGUCCCCUCUUCCCCAUCCUUCUUUAAACCAUCUUUAAACAACCAGACUAUGAACCCCUCAAGGCCAGCGACCAUGCUUCAUUCAUCUCUGUGUCUUCAGUGCUCAGCUUAAUGGCUGGCACUCCACAGAUGCUCAAUAAAACAUUUGCUGAAUGACUAGACAAACCAGAAAGAGACUGUUUACCUGAAUUGCAAAGUGCGUAUCUGGCUCUUUUGGGUACAAAAACUUUCCGACAUCUAAAAGGCCUGUCAUUUUUUAAAUGUCAGGACAGGUAGUGACAUUCACAUUACAUUUCCAUUAGUGAUUUUCAGAGUCUGAGAGCAGAAGACCAGCAAUUACUCACUCCCAGGCAUCUGCUCCAUAAAUAUCUUAAUGUAGCCGUCCUCCGAAACAGAGCCCAGGUACUGAACGAUGUUGCGGUGCUUGAGGUACUUGUGCAGAGCUAUCUUCUCAUGCAGGGGCUGAGAGUACCUAUUGGGAAAAAACAAAGCCAGUGUCUCCCACAAGUCCCUAGGGUUCAGAGCUCGCAUCACAGCUCACCAGUACCUGCUGCCAUUGAGGACUAGCCUUUCUUUCUGGAAACUUCCCUUGGCUCCCGAUACUAACUCAGCUUCUCAUCUGUAAAAUAGGGAAAACAACGCCAGCCAUGCUGGGCUGCUGGGGACCAAAGUGUGUCUAGGUGCUUAGUCAGCGGAGCGCCUGGCAGGGCAACAAAAACAUGGUCCUGAUAUCAUGAAACACUGUGAUGUGUCCAGGACAGGAUUGUACUGCAUUUGAAGUUUAGAGCAAAUGAUCUAAAUUUGAGAUGAUCUAAAUUGGAUGUAGAAACAAGAAGUACACAGUGGCCCAACAUCUUCUAUCAAUAUAUCAGCAUACUUUAACAUGAGUUUGGGAAUAGCCGACGGAUGAGUGACCUGCAGAAAUAUUUGAAGACUGUGGCAAACAGCACUCAGUGUUCACCGAUCUCCAUUUCUUCUUCUCCCUGGGCACACAGCGAGGCUGUAUUUCCCAGUCUCCUUUGCAGCUAGGUUGGGCCAUAUGACUGAGUUCUGGCCAAUGGAAUGAGAGGAGUGAUGUACGCCACCUGCAGGCCUGGCUCAUGAAAAGCUCCACACCAAUUCUCUACAUUCUCUUUCCCCAUCCACUACAUGAAGGAACAGAGCCGCCUGCCAACCUGGAUAUGA
Molecule: long non-coding RNA, 1589 nt
Organism: Choloepus didactylus (southern two-toed sloth)
Lineage: Eukaryota; Metazoa; Chordata; Mammalia; Pilosa; Megalonychidae
Exons: 3
Source: RefSeq, a predicted model, not a curated record